GACGAACGCUGGCGGCGUGCUUAACACAUGCAAGUCGAACGGAAAGGCCCCUUUGGGGGUACUCGAGAGGCGAACGGGUGAGUAACACGUGAGUAACCUGCCCUUGACUUCGGGAUAACUUCAGGAAACUGGGGCUAAUACCGGAUAGGAAUCCUUGCUGCAUGGUGGAGGUUGGAAAGCUUCGGCGGUUUUGGAUGGACUCGCGGCUUAUCAGCUUGUUGGUGGGGUAGUGGCUUACCAAGGCUUUGACGGGUAGCCGGCCUGAGAGGGCGACCGGCCACAUUGGGACUGAGAUACGGCCCAGACUCCUACGGGAGGCAGCAGUGGGGAAUAUUGCACAAUGGGCGGAAGCCUGAUGCAGCAACGCCGCGUGCGGGAUGACGGCCUUCGGGUUGUAAACCGCUUUCAGCAGGGGCGAAGCUUGUGGUGACGGUACCUGCAGAAGAAGCACCGGCUAACUACGUG
Molecule: ribosomal RNA, 465 nt
Filed under: uncultured bacterium
Lineage: Bacteria
Description: partial 16S ribosomal RNA
Rfam family: Bacterial small subunit ribosomal RNA
Source: RNAcentral